AAAGAAAAGCAGCAAGUGUGGAACCGGGAUGAGACCCUAACCUCUUUGCUAAAUAACCCUCCAGCCUUCCCAAAACUUCGGGGCCGCCACGAUUCUUCCUAAAGUUAUUUUCCUUUACUUUUGUUUCCAUUAGGUCACCCGGCCCGCCCACAUCAUUUACCUAGGGUAGCGCACUAGCCAGCUCUGCCCUAAGCGCUAACUCCAACUCCGCACACCCCUCACACCUCCCCCGCACCAUCCUCGAGUCCGGACAGCACCCCAUCUCAGGAAGGCGCACCCCACGAGCUCGGCACGCCCCUUACACCAAAUGCGGCCGCGCCCCGGACACCCUUUCUCGAGAAAGAGCCCGGGAUACCCUAUUCUGUUCGCACUCCAGCCCGUGAGCUCGGCGCGCCCCCGCGCCCAGCCGCACCGCAGGGGCGCCCCCUCUCGGGAAAGCUAAGGCUCGCGCCACAGCGCACGGCAGCUCCGCCCUCACCUGAGUCGUAGGUUGGCCAUGAACUCGGGCAUGGAGACAGUGUCCAUCAGCACGAAGUCCGCCUUGCCGAACUCCAGGCUCUCCUGCUCCGCCAUGGCGCCGGCUUACGGGCUCAGGAAAUCUAGAAGCCCCUAAAGACCUGGAUGGGCUCCAAUUCUGUGGCUGAAUUUGAGAUGAGUAAACCAGCCUGAAGGACCCUGCUCAAGGCCUGCUUCAGCUGCCAGCAACCCACCCUGGCCAAGAGAGAGGGGAAGGCAGCUUGAUCACCUCCUGAGAGAGCACUUCUGCCAUCAAAAAGGUUCCUCAACUCCUUGCCCAGGCGGAGCUGCAUUCCAACCGCCAUCAGCAGCUCCCUUCACCAGAGGACGCCUCUCUGGAUCUCAUUGCUCUCAUUUGUAGAACAAGACCUCUGGGCUAGACACUCUCCAAGGCAGGACUGUCCUUAUUUGGGUCAUUUGUGUGGAUCAGUGGCUAAACAUGUAAUUGCAUAGAUAUGACAUAUUCAUAAAAUGUUUGUAUCGGUAUGUUUUAACAUAAGUAUAACUGAAUUU
Molecule: long non-coding RNA, 1029 nt
Organism: Phyllostomus discolor (pale spear-nosed bat)
Lineage: Eukaryota; Metazoa; Chordata; Mammalia; Chiroptera; Phyllostomidae
Exons: 2
Source: RefSeq, a predicted model, not a curated record